AUUGAACGCUGGCGGAAUGCUUUACACAUGCGAGUCGAACGGCAGCACGGACUUCGGUCUGGUGGCGAGUGGCGAACGGGUGAGUAAUGUAUCGGAGCGUGCCCAGUCGUGGGGGAUAACGUAGUGAAAAUUACGCUAAUACCGCAUACGAUCUAUGGAUGAAAGCGGGGGAUCGCAAGACCUCGCGCGAUUGGAGCGGCCGAUAUCAGAUUAGGUAGUUGGUGGGGUAAAGGCCCACCAAGCCAACGAUCUGUAGCUGGUCUGAGAGGACGACCAGCCACACUGGAACUGAGACACGGUCCAGACUCCUACGGGAGGCAGCAGUGGGGAAUUUUGGACAAUGGGCGAAAGCCUGAUCCAGCCAUUCCGCGUGCAGGAUGAAGGCCCUCGGGUUGUAAACUGCUUUUGUACAGAACGAAAAGGUUUCUACUAAUACUAGGAGCUCAUGACGGUACUGUAAGAAUAAGCACCGGCUGACUACGUGCCAGCCGCCGCCGUAA
This 500-nucleotide ribosomal RNA is filed under the name uncultured bacterium. Its description in RNAcentral is "partial 16S ribosomal RNA". It matches the Rfam family "Bacterial small subunit ribosomal RNA", at positions 30 to 523 of the family's 1533-position model. The record is from RNAcentral.